AUGCACGCUGGCGGCGUGCUUAACACAUGCAAGUCGAACGGAAAGGCUCCUGCUUGCAGGGGUACUCGAGUGGCGAACGGGUGAGUAACACGUGGGUGAUCUGCCCAGCACUUCGGGAUAAGCCUGGGAAACUGGGUCUAAUACCGGAUAGGACGAUGGUUUGGAUGCCAUUGUGGAAAGUUUUUUCGGUGUGGGAUGAGCUCGCGGCCUAUCAGCUUGUUGGUGGGGUAAUGGCCUACCAAGGCGUCGACGGGUAGCCGGCCUGAGAGGGUGUACGGCCACAUUGGGACUGAGAUACGGCCCAGACUCCUACGGGAGGCAGCAGUGGGGAAUAUUGCACAAUGGGCGCAAGCCUGAUGCAGCGACGCCGCGUGGGGGAUGACGGCCUUCGGGUUGUAAACUCCUUUCGCUAGGGACGAAGCGCAAGUGACGGUACCUGGAGAAGAAGCACCGGCUAACUACGUG
This 465-nucleotide ribosomal RNA is filed under the name uncultured bacterium. Its description in RNAcentral is "partial 16S ribosomal RNA". It matches the Rfam family "Bacterial small subunit ribosomal RNA", at positions 29 to 507 of the family's 1533-position model. The record is from RNAcentral.